GAAUUCCCCCUUAGAGUUUGAUCCUGGCUCAAGACGAACGCUGGCGGCGUGCUUAACACAUGCAAGUCGAACGAAGCACUUCAGUGGCGAUCUUCGGAUCAAAACUGAUUUGACUGAGUGGCGGACGGGUGAGUAACGCGUGAGCAACCUGCCCAUAAGAGGGGGAUAACAGUUGGAAACGACUGCUAAUACCGCAUAAGACCACAUUACCGCAUGGUAAAGGGGUCAAAGAAAUUCGCUUAUGGAUGGGCUCGCGUCCCAUUAGGUAGUUGGUAGGGUAACGGCCUACCAAGCCGACGAUGGGUAGCCGACCUGAGAGGGUGAUCGGCCACACUGGAACUGAGACACGGUCCAGACUCCUACGGGAGGCAGCAGUGGGGAAUAUUGGGCAAUGGGCGCAAGCCUGACCCAGCAACGCCGCGUGAGGGAAGAAGGCCUUCGGGUUGUAAACCUCUGUCCUAUGGGAAGAACACAAUGACGGUACCAUAGGAGGAAGCUCCGGCUAACUACGUGCCAGCAGCCGCGGUAAUACGUAGGGAGCAAGCGUUGUCCGGAAUUACUGGGCGUAAAGGGUGCGUAGGCGGUUGCUUAAGUCAGAAGUGAAAUAUCCGGGCUCAACCCGGGGGCUGCUUCUGAUACUGAUGGGCUUGAGUGCAGGAGAGGAAAGCGGAAUUACCGGUGUAGCGGUGAAAUGCGUAGAGAUCGGUAGGAACACCAGUGGCGAAGGCGGCUUUCUGGACUGAAACUGACGCUGAGGCGCGAAAGCGUGGGGAGCAAACAAGAUAAGAUACCCUGGUAGUCCACGCGGUAAACGAUGAACCCUAAGGGUGGAGGUAUCGACCCCUUCAGUGCCGGAGUAAACACAAUAAGCAUUCCCCCCUGGGGAGUA
Molecule: ribosomal RNA, 889 nt
Filed under: uncultured bacterium
Lineage: Bacteria
Description: bacterial SSU rRNA
Rfam family: Bacterial small subunit ribosomal RNA
Source: RNAcentral